Molecule: ribosomal RNA, 253 nt
Filed under: uncultured bacterium
Lineage: Bacteria
Description: partial 16S ribosomal RNA
Rfam family: Bacterial small subunit ribosomal RNA
Source: RNAcentral
UACGUAGGGGGCAAGCGUUGUCCGGAUUUAUUGGGCGUAAAGAGCGUGUAGGCGGUUAGGUAGGUCCGUUGGGAAAACUCGAGGCUCAACCUCGAGACGCCGAUGGAAACCCCCUAACUAGAGUCCGGAAGAGGAGAGUGGAAUUCCUGGUGUAGCGGUGAAAUGCGCAGAUAUCAGGAAGAACACCCGUGGCUAAGGCGGCUCUCUAGUACGGUACUGACGCUGAGACGCGAAAGCGUGGGGAGCGAACAGG